ACAACAUUCGGACCGUCGGUCUACCGAGCAAUAACAUCCGCUCAGCGGAGAACAUUUCCCUCCGUCGU
Molecule: microRNA precursor, 68 nt
Filed under: Bombyx mori (domestic silkworm)
Lineage: Eukaryota; Metazoa; Arthropoda; Insecta; Lepidoptera; Bombycidae
Description: mir-2774 microRNA precursor family
Rfam family: mir-2774 microRNA precursor family
Source: Rfam by way of RNAcentral